UAAUACGGAGGGUGCAAGCGUUAUCCGGAUUCACUGGGUUUAAAGGGUGCGUAGGCGGGCAGGUAAGUCAGUGGUGAAAUCUUCGAGCUUAACUCGGAAACUGCCGUUGAUACUAUCUGUCUUGAAUAUCGUUGAGGUGAGCGGAAUAUGUCAUGUAGCGGUGAAAUGCUUAGAUAUGACAUAGAACACCGAUUGCGAAGGCAGCUCACUAACCGAUCAUUGACGCUGAGGCACGAAAGCGUGGGGAUCAAACAGGAUUAGAUACCCUGGUAGUCCACGCCCUAAACGAUGAUUACUCGACAUACGCGAUAAACUGUGUGUGUCUGAGCGAAAGCAUUAAGUAAUCCACCUGGGAAGUACGACCGCAAGGUUG
Molecule: ribosomal RNA, 373 nt
Filed under: uncultured bacterium
Lineage: Bacteria
Description: bacterial SSU rRNA
Rfam family: Bacterial small subunit ribosomal RNA
Source: RNAcentral